This 184-nucleotide unclassified non-coding RNA is filed under the name uncultured fungus. RNAcentral describes it as "sequence contains ITS1". Lineage: Eukaryota; Fungi. The record is from RNAcentral.
UUAAUUGAUUUAUUUCAAUACUCUGACGCAAGGAUGCAGUGUUUGUGGUGUGUCCAUCGGGGGCGGUGAAGCCCCCGAGGCAACGUGUACGUUUGACAAAGGGUUGUGAGGUGAGGCGCCGGACUGUUUCCAGCCGGGCGCCAUGUUCUCAUUAAUGAUCCCUCCGCAGGUUCACCUACGGAGA